RNAcentral lists this small RNA (19 nucleotides) under Arabidopsis thaliana (thale cress). RNAcentral describes it as "Ath_wt_17459". Lineage: Eukaryota; Viridiplantae; Streptophyta; Magnoliopsida; Brassicales; Brassicaceae. The record is from RNAcentral.
UCCCUGUCUACUAUCCAGC